Molecule: ribosomal RNA, 279 nt
Filed under: uncultured bacterium
Lineage: Bacteria
Description: partial 16S ribosomal RNA
Rfam family: Bacterial small subunit ribosomal RNA
Source: RNAcentral
UGCCAGCCGCCGCGGUAAGGCGGAGGGGGCUAGCGUUGUUCGGAAUUACUGGGCGUAAAGGGCGCGUAGGCGGAUUAGUAAGUUGGGAGUGAAAUCCCGGGGCUCAACCUCGGAACUGCUCUCAAAACUACUAGUCUUGAGUGAAGUAGGGGAUGAUGGAAUUUCUAGUGUAGAGGUGAAAUUCUUAGAUAUUAGAAGGAACACCGGUGGCGAAGGCGGUCAUCUGGACUUCAACUGACGCUGAGGCGCGAAAUCGUGGGGAGCAAACAGGAUUAGAUA